This 427-nucleotide ribosomal RNA is filed under the name uncultured bacterium. Its description in RNAcentral is "partial 16S ribosomal RNA". It matches the Rfam family "Bacterial small subunit ribosomal RNA", at positions 355 to 799 of the family's 1533-position model. The record is from RNAcentral.
UGGGGAAUAUUGCACAAUGGGCGAAAGCCUGAUGCAGCAACGCCGCGUGAGUGAUGAAGGUCUUCGGAUUGUAAAGCUCUGUCUUUUGGGACGAUAAUGACGGUACCAAAGGAGGAAGCCACGGCUAACUACGUGCCAGCAGCCGCGGUAAUACGUAGGUGGCGAGCGUUGUCCGGAUUUACUGGGCGUAAAGGGUGCGUAGGCGGAUGUUUAAGUGAGAUGUGAAAUACCCGGGCUUAACUUGGGUGCUGCAUUUCAAACUGGAUAUCUAGAGUGCAGGAGAGGAGAAUGGAAUUCCUAGUGUAGCGGUGAAAUGCGUAGAGAUUAGGAAGAACACCAGUGACGAAGGCGAUUCUCUGGACUGUAACUGACGCUGAGGCACGAAAGCGUGGGUAGCAAACAGGAUUAGAUACCCUGGUAGUCCACG